UCCUACUGAGUUGGCCUCUUUGGCCCAUCUUCACAUUGUUAAGUCAGUACUAAGUAUUUGAUUAGCAUGGCAGAUAGAUUGGUUGAUAUCCCAAUUCAAGAUUUGGUGACUCUUCGGGAUUUCUAUAAAGGAGACUGGCCCACGUAUAAUAUCGGAUAUGGUAUCGUGGAUACAUAUGUACGGUGGCUCGGUAAAGAUCCCAACAUCCCCCAUAUCCGUAUUUUCUCGUUGAAUGGUGAUUGGAGUGAUGGUACUUUUAUUAUUAUAGUAAGUACACUUGAACCAAGAUCAGAGAACGCUCAGCUUUCCACUUAAAUAUGAUUAUAAAAUGAAGAUACUUUUCCAUUGCGUUUUUAUCGAUCUUAGAUGCAUAGCUGUCCAUAUAGAUGCUGUAGAUGGAAAACGAACGAACAAGUGAACAUUGAAUUGACUGGAGUAUGGUCUACUGCAAUACACGAAAUACCAAUUUCACUCGUCUACUAAAAGCCCUAUCUCUUAUCGAUUGGAGUAAAGGAUACACAAUUGGUUCCAUCGGAUGUGAUGAUGAUGAUGAGAUAAAUAAUUUCGUCAAGGACAACAAAAUUGAGGUUGAUUUCGUAAACCCCACAAAGUGGUAUCGGUUGCCUCAAGCAGAAGCCGUAAAGUUCGUUGUAAAUCCCCCUCAUGGUAUCACACUUAGGCCUCUAACCGAAGUAGAUGCAGUCACUGCUAACGCUUUGUGGCACCACAAUUAUCCUGGUUCCGUUGUGUAUUUGAAACGCAUGGUUAAGUAUAACAUCAGUGUUGGAGCUUUUACAUCAGAAGGACAGUUAGUGGCAUGAUGCUUCAGAAUUCCAGCUGGCUGUCUCGGAACCCUCGAAGUUAUAGAGUCGCAUAAACGAAAAGGACUUGGAAGCUUGAUGGUACGGGCUAUGGCUAAAGCUAUAGCUGAAACAGGGGAUGAUGUCUUCUCUCCAGUGGUGGUCGAUAAUUAUCCAUCGAUUAAAAUGUUUGAAAGACUCGGAUUCAAAGUUUGU
Long non-coding RNA from Hermetia illucens (black soldier fly), 1016 nucleotides. RefSeq lists it as uncharacterized. NCBI's taxonomy places the organism in Eukaryota, Metazoa, Arthropoda, Insecta, Diptera, Stratiomyidae. The transcript has 5 exons. The record is from RefSeq and is a predicted model, not a curated record.